Salvelinus sp. IW2-2015 is the source of this 2537-nucleotide non-coding RNA. The record is from RefSeq and is a predicted model, not a curated record. Lineage: Eukaryota; Metazoa; Chordata; Actinopteri; Salmoniformes; Salmonidae.
CCAAUAACGUUACGCGAGAGCGUUACAUUGUUGCAGAGGGUGGCGCUUAUGAGUUUCCUUCAAAACUCGGUUUGAGCAGAGUACGUAGCACCUCUCCUAUGCGGGCAGUUAUUUUUCAUCGCUAAGCCAGUUCACGMUUUAUUUGUCAUAUCAGUAUAUCUUGAGAGAUUUCGUUAACUGAGACGGACGGCAGACACAUUUAUAGCCCUUGCCCAGCAAAGCAUUAUGCUAGGCAAUUUUUUUUUUAUCUCAAAUUUUCUAUGGUUUUUGAGUGGUAGUCUAUACCACAUGCAGUUCGCUUCAGUGGAGCGUUUUAAUUUCACGGGAUAUAGAAAAUAGAUUUUGUUUAACCUACUGAGUGUGUAUGUUAUUGUGCUGGUCUGUGCCUAUGACAGACGUUUAAGUUAUUAUUUAGGUGCGUCUAUAAAGUAAAGACUGCAAGCAAUUGCCGUUAAACUUGAUUUGUUAACUUAUUGUUGGCUCAAGUCGCUAUCAGAAUGACCGAGGACAAUGUCACAAGUAAAAGUAUUGAAAUCGUCAAAGAUCAACUGUAUUUCGCCAUACUGCAGCAGAAGAUUAAAAGCACAGCUGACAGACAUUUCUUCUGCAUAGACGAAGAGCUGUCAUAUGAGAACUUCUAUGCAGACUUUGGCCCGCUCAACCUGGCCAUGUUCUAUCGCUUUUGUUGCAAACUCACUAAAAAGCUCAAGUCAUUCACACUAGCAAAGAAGAAGAUAGUCUUCUAUACCUGUGGAGAUAAUAAGAAACAAGCCAAUGCUGCCUAUCUUAUUGGUUCAUAUGCAGUGAUGCAUUUGCAGAAGACGCCAGAGGAAGCCUACAGUCUACUGGUGUCCAGGAACUCUACCUACCUGUCCUUCAGAGAUGCCUCUUUUGGAACUUGUAUGUACAAUCUGAACAUUCUAGACUGCCUGCGCGCCAUAUACAAGGCUCUGCAGUUUGGCUGGCUUGAUUUCUCCCAGUUUGAUGUGGAGGAAUACGAGCAUUAUGAGAGAGCAGAAAAUGGAGAUUUCAACUGGAUUAUUCCUGGGAAGUUCUUAGCGUUUAGUGGCCCUCAUCCAAAAAGCAAAAUAGAGAACGGUUACCCUCUCCAUGCCCCCGAGGCCUACUUUCCUUAUUUCAGGAAACACAACAUCACAGCCAUCGUCCGUCUCAACAAGAAGAUGUACGAUGCCAAGCGCUUCACUGACAUGGGCUUCGAGCACCACGACCUCUUCUUCGUGGACGGAAGCACGCCAAAUGACUCCAUCGUCAGGAAGUUCCUCAACAUCUGUGAGAACGCAGAUGGAGCUAUCGCUGUUCACUGCAAAGCGGGUCUGGGUCGAACAGGCACUCUGAUAGGCUGUUACAUGAUGAAGCACUACCGUCUGACUGCGUCUGAGGCCAUCGCCUGGAUGAGGAUCUGCCGGCCUGGAUCAGUCAUCGGACCACAACAAAACUUUGUGGAAGAUAAGCAGAUCAGCCUGUGGUCGGAGGGAGAUGUUUUCCGGGAGAAGAUGAACGAGCAGGAGAACGGCAAGCUGGCCGUCACCAGAAUACUGUCGGGGGUUGAUGACAUCACUAUCAACGGCAGCAACAAAAGCAGGGGGUCCAAAAAGGAAGAGGCAGAACUGUAUAGUGACGAUGAGGAGAGGAAUGGCAUCACCCAGGGUGAUAAACUGCGAGCCCUGAAGAGCAAGAGGCAGGCAAGAACAUCCACAGGUUCCCUAUCACAAGAAGAGAACAAGAUUCACACCAGGUCCUCAUCGCAGUCUUUAAGGAUUCUCCUGCAGUCUAGUGGGCCUGAUGCCUCAGACAAUAGGAAGAGAACCAGAUCCUCGCUGCCUGCCAACAGUGUGGGGGGCAGCUCCCUGUGCAGCUCCAGACUAGCCAGGUCUCUAGGCAGCAUGCAUGUAGUGGCCAGCGACAGAGAGCCAGUGUGCUGUGAGUCCAGUGGCUGCCAUAGAGACACAGCCACCAACGCAGGCAGCACAGGCAACCUGCCGAACCUAAACAUGCUGCAGGCCCCUCAGAAGGCAAGCCCACCUAGCCUCUCCUCAACCCCUUUCUCUGGGCUUAACCUCACUCUCUCCUACUCUGUUGGUCCUCCACAUACCAAGGUCUGCUUAACUGAGCAUUUCACAUGAUCUUCCAAAAACUUUCAAGCUCUCAACGCUCCAGCUCAAACACUUGGAACACUCUGCAGCGCUUCACACUCCCUAUGGCUCCUUGCAUGUUCUAUUAGAAUGGCUGAUCCAGAAGUAUGACUGGCUAUAGCUUCUCUGGACUUUACUGCUCACAUGGUCUCCUUGCUUUCAGACACUGGCAACCUGUCAUUGGCUGUUUGGGAUUCUGCUAACAUGAAUCAUUGUUCUACAAGGGGAAUCACAUGUCCCUUUCCUUUCCCUUGUUUUCUUUUUUGUAAUUUCCCUCUUAACAGACGCACUGUGUCCAGAGGACGGAAAACUCGAUGUUCUUUACAAUCAAUGCGCUUUACGAGACUAUGUCACUCCAUACCCAAAGCUAGAGCUCCUCUACUG